RNAcentral lists this ribosomal RNA (292 nucleotides) under uncultured bacterium. RNAcentral describes it as "partial 16S ribosomal RNA". It matches the Rfam family "Bacterial small subunit ribosomal RNA", at positions 505 to 796 of the family's 1533-position model. The record is from RNAcentral.
GUGUCAGCAGCCGCGGUAAUACGUAGGGGGCAAGCGUUGUCCGGAUUUAUUGGGCGUAAAGCGCGUGUAGGCGGCCAGGUAGGUCAGCUGUGAAAACUCGAGGCUUAACCUCGAGAUGUCGGCUGAAACCAUCUGGCUAGAGUCCGGAAGAGGAGAAUGGAAUUCCCGGUGUAGCGGUGAAAUGCGCAGAUAUCGGGAAGAACACCCGUGGCGAAGGCGGUUCUCUGGGACGGUACUGACGCUGAGACGCGAAAGCGUGGGGAGCGAACAGGAUUAGAAACCCCCGUAGUCC